This 216-nucleotide long non-coding RNA is filed under the name Elaeis guineensis (African oil palm). RNAcentral describes it as "long non-coding RNA (EGUI_LNC043510)". The record is from RNAcentral. Lineage: Eukaryota; Viridiplantae; Streptophyta; Magnoliopsida; Arecales; Arecaceae.
ACCUUGAUUGUAUGGGGUUAAAAUUUAAGGAUGAUUGGCUUUAGUGCAAGUGGGAGAUUGAAAAGAAUAUGCCCUAUAAGCUAAUCAAAAUUUUAUAUUUUGAUAGAUUUUUCUUGUAAUCUUCCAGACUCAUGUAACUGACACUUUAUGAAUAAAUAAAAGAUAUUUUUUUCAUCAUAUGCUAUAUCUUACAUUUGUAAUGAUUAUGAUGAACCC